CCUGUUUGAUUCUGCCAGUAGCAUAUGCUUGUCUCAAAGAUUAAGCCAUGCACAUGUAAGUACACAGCGAAACUGCAAAUGGUUCAUUGAAUAAGUUAUGGUUCCUUUGAUUGCUACAACUGUUGCUUGGAUAACUGUGGUAAUUAUAGAGCUAAUACAUUCCAACAAAUGCUGGCCUCCAGGGAUGUGUGGAUUUAUCAGACCAAGGCCAACCUGGGCUCGCCCGGCUGCUUUAUUGACUCUAGAUAAGCUUGAGCAGAUUGCACAUCCCAGUGAUGACGAUUAUACAUUUGGAUAUCUGCCCUAUCAACUUUCAAUGAUACUUUCAUUGCCUACCAUGGUGAUCAUGGGUAACGGGAAAUCAGGCUUAAUUUCCAGAGAGGGAGACUGAGAAAUGGCUACCACAUCCAAGGAAGGAAGCAGGCAUUCAAAUUACCUGCUCCCGACUCCGGGAGGUGGUAAAGACAAAGUAACAGUAGGGACUCUUUCAAGGCUCUGUAAUUGUAAUGAGUACACUUUAAAUCCUUUAACAAGGAUCCAUUGGAGGGCAAGUCUGCUGCCAACAGCAGCAGUAAUUCCAGCUCCAAUAGCGUAUAUUAAAGUUCCUGUAGUUAGAAAGCUCAAAGUUGGAUGUUGGAAUUAAGCUCAUGGGCCGCCAUGAGACGAGCUACCGCCUGUCCCAGCCCAUGCCUCUUGGAACUCCCUGGAUGCUCUUGACUCAUUGCCCUGCAGUUUGAAGCAUUUACUUUGAAAAAUUAGACUGUUCAAAGACACUCAGUCACCUUAAUACUUCAGCUAGUAAUGAUGAGAUAGGACUCAGUCUAUUUUGUUGGUUUUUGGAACGGCCGAGGGCAUUUGUUUUGGCCCUCUAGAGGAGAACAUCUUGGACCACUGUACUGUCACCCAGAAACAAUGUCGACUAGCAAUCCGGCAGCGUUAAUCCCAUGACCAGCCGAGUAGCCUCCGGGAAACCAAAGUCAUUGGGAGUAUGGUUGCAAAGCUGAAACUUAAAGAAAUUGAUGGAAGAGCACCACCAGGAGUAGAGCAUGCAACUUAAUUUGACUCAACCCGGGAAACCUCACCAGGCCCGGACACAGAAAAGAUUGACAGAUUGAUAGCUUAUUCAAGAGUCUGUGGUAGUUGUGCAUGGCCAUUCGUAGUUGGUGGUGCGAUUUGUCCAGUGAAUUCUGAUGAAGAUCAAGACUCCUCCAUGCUAACUAGCUACAAAAUGUCCAAAUUCUUAGAGGGACAAGUGACCUUAAACCACACAAGCUCAAACAAUAACAGGUCUCUGAUGCCCUUAAAGGUCCUUAAAUGCAGGGCUGCACGCUCACUACACUGAACAGAUCAGUGUGUGUCUACCAUUCACCAACAGGUGCAGGUAACCUGCUGAACCCCAUUGUGAUAGGGAUUGGGGAUUGCAAUAAUUUCCAUGAACAAGGAAUUCACAGUAAAUGCGGGUCAUAAGCAUGUUUUAAUUAAGUCCCUCUCCUUUGUACACACCGCCUGUCGCUACUACCGAUUAGAUGUUUUAGUGAGGUCCUCGUAUCAGUCCCUCUGGGGUCGGCAAUGGCCCUGGCAGAGCGCCGAGAAGAUGAUCAGACUUGACUAUCUAGAGGAAGUAAAAGUCGUAACAAUGUUUCCUGUAGGUGAACCUGCAGAAG
Molecule: ribosomal RNA, 1664 nt
Filed under: Ambystoma mexicanum (axolotl)
Lineage: Eukaryota; Metazoa; Chordata; Amphibia; Caudata; Ambystomatidae
Description: SSU rRNA
Rfam family: Eukaryotic small subunit ribosomal RNA
Source: RNAcentral